GCCGUCGCAGCUCGAUUGGACGAGCACCUGGCUUACAUCCAGGGGGCUGGGGGUUCGAAUCCCUCCGACGGUA
Molecule: transfer RNA, 73 nt
Filed under: Mycobacterium sp. ST-F2
Lineage: Bacteria; Bacillati; Actinomycetota; Actinomycetes; Mycobacteriales; Mycobacteriaceae
Description: tRNA-Val
Rfam family: tRNA
About the family: Transfer RNA (tRNA) molecules are approximately 80 nucleotides in length.
Source: RNAcentral